GACAAACGCUGGCGGCGUGCCUAAUACAUGCAAGUCGAACGACGAAAGCCUUCGGGCAAGUAAGAGUGGCGCACGGGCGAGGAACACGUAGAUAAUCUGCCCUUCAGGGGGGAAUAACUCUCCGAAAGGAGUGCUAAUACCGCAUUAGACCACAAGCUCUGCGGAGUCAGGGGUUAAAGGAUUUAUUCGCUGAAGGACGAGUCUGGGUCCGAUUAGCUAGUGGGUGAGGUAAUGGCUUACCAAGGCACUGAGGGGUAGAUGGUCUGAGAGGUUGAUCAUCCGCACUGGAACUGAGACACGGUCCAGACUCCUACGGGAGGCAGCAGUAGGGAAUAUUGCACAAUGGGGGAAACCCUGAUGCAGCAACGCCGCGUGAGUGAUGAAGGCUCUAGGGUCGUAAAGCUCUGUCGUAUGGGAAGAAAAAAAUGACGGUACCAUACAAGAAAGGACCGGCCAACUUCGUGCCAGCAGCCGCCGUAA
This 480-nucleotide ribosomal RNA is filed under the name uncultured bacterium. Its description in RNAcentral is "partial 16S ribosomal RNA". It matches the Rfam family "Bacterial small subunit ribosomal RNA", at positions 28 to 523 of the family's 1533-position model. The record is from RNAcentral.